UACAGGUAAAAAAAUAUACACCAAUUUUCUCCUAUUCUGAGUUAACAUCUACGGCUUCCAAAUUACUAUAGAUAACACAUGAUUCACUGUAUGGGUUAUAAAGCAGUCAUUUAGAGCAUGUAUUAUUUUUUGUGUUCUUCUUAAAACUAAAACUAAAGUGUGUCUGAGCUGUGAAUUAUAAGUACUCAAGUUUAUAAUUGAUUUAUGGAAUUAAUUUGCAAUCUUUUUUUGUCAAAUCUGUAACUUUGGUCAGUCAUAUGCCUAUCUGAAACUCUGAAUGCUGAAACUCUGAAUGCCGGUAAGUUUUUAUUCAAUCUAAAUUUGUUACUUUGGCAUUCUGCAUUUGUUCACUGUAUGAGUUAUGAAUCAAUU
Molecule: long non-coding RNA, 372 nt
Filed under: Oryza brachyantha (malo sina)
Lineage: Eukaryota; Viridiplantae; Streptophyta; Magnoliopsida; Poales; Poaceae
Description: long non-coding RNA (OBRA_LNC003086)
Source: RNAcentral